This 442-nucleotide ribosomal RNA is filed under the name uncultured bacterium. RNAcentral's name for it is "partial 16S ribosomal RNA". It matches the Rfam family "Bacterial small subunit ribosomal RNA", at positions 338 to 795 of the family's 1533-position model. The record is from RNAcentral.
CCUACGGGAGGCAGCAGUGGGGAAUAUUGGGCAAUGGACGCAAGUCUGACCCAGCAACGCCGCGUGAAGGAAGAAGGCUUUCAGGUUGUAAACUUCUUUUAAGGGGGAAGAGCAGAAGACGGUACCCCUUGAAUAAGCCACGGCUAACUACGUGCCAGCAGCCGCGGUAAUACGUAGGGGGCAAGCGUUAUCCGGAUUUACUGGGUGUAAAGGGAGCGCAGACGGCAGUGCAAGUCUGGAGUGAAAGCCCGGGGCCCAACCCCGGAACUGCUCUGGAAACUGUGCGGCUAGAGUACUGGAGGGGCAGGCGGAAUUCCUAGUGUAGCGGUGAAAUGCGUAGAUAUUAGGAGGAACACCAGUGGCGAAGGCGGCCUGCUGGACAGUAACUGACGUUGAGGCUCGAAAGCGUGGGGAGCAAACAGGAUUAGAUACCCUUGUAGUC